GGCGGCAUAGCUCAGAUGGCUAGAGCAUGCGGUUCAUACCCGCAGGGUCACUGGUUCGAUCCCAGUUGCCGCCACCA
This 77-nucleotide transfer RNA is filed under the name Synergistaceae bacterium. RNAcentral's name for it is "tRNA-Met". It matches the Rfam family "tRNA". From Rfam's summary of the family: Transfer RNA (tRNA) molecules are approximately 80 nucleotides in length. Their secondary structure includes four short double-helical elements and three loops (D, anti-codon, and T loops). Lineage: Bacteria; Thermotogati; Synergistota; Synergistia; Synergistales; Synergistaceae. The record is from RNAcentral.